This 253-nucleotide ribosomal RNA is filed under the name uncultured bacterium. Its description in RNAcentral is "partial 16S ribosomal RNA". It matches the Rfam family "Bacterial small subunit ribosomal RNA", at positions 524 to 776 of the family's 1533-position model. The record is from RNAcentral.
UACGAGGGGUGCAAGCGUUGUUCGGAAUUACUGGGCGUAAAGGGCCAGUAGGCGGCCAACUAAGUCCGACGUGAAAUCCCCAGGCUUAACCUGGGAACUGCGUCGGAUACUGGAUGGCUUGAAUUCGGGAGAGGGAUGCAGAAUUCCUGGUGUAGCGGUGAAAUGCGUAGAGAUCAGGAAGAACACCGGUGGCGAAGGCGCUCUGCUAGGCCGCAACUGACACUGAGGGACGAAAGCUAGGGGAGCGAAUGGG